RNAcentral lists this ribosomal RNA (889 nucleotides) under Chloroflexi bacterium enrichment culture clone B31138. RNAcentral describes it as "bacterial SSU rRNA". It matches the Rfam family "Bacterial small subunit ribosomal RNA", at positions 8 to 916 of the family's 1533-position model. Lineage: Bacteria; Bacillati; Chloroflexota. The record is from RNAcentral.
AGAGUUUGAUCAUGGCUCAGGAUGAACGUUGGCGGUGUGCCUAAUACAUGCAAGUCGAACGGAGUUAAUAGCAAUAUUGACUUAGUGGCGAACGGGUGAGUAACGCGUUGGUGAUCUGCCUCGAAGUGUGGAAUAACGUUCCGAAAGGAACGCUAAUACCGCAUGUGCUCUCGAUUUUUAGAAAGUUGAGAGUAAAGGAUUUAUUCGCUUCGAGAGGAGCCUGCGUCCCAUCAGCUGGUUGGUAGGGUAACGGCCUACCAAGGCUAUGACGGGUAGGGGACCUGAGAGGGUGGCCCCCCACAAUGGAACUGAAACACGGUCCAUACACCUACGGGUGGCAGCAGUAGGGAAUAUUAGAAAUGGACGAAAGUCUGAUCUAGCAACACCGCGUGUGCGAAGAAGGCCUUCGGGUCGUAAAGCACUUUUUGGAAGGAAUAGGAAGGAAUGUACUUCCAGAAUAAGUCUCGGCUAACUACGUGCCAGCAGCCGCGGUAACACGUAGGAGGCGAACGUUAUCCGGAUUUACUGGGCGUAAAGCGCGUGUAGGUGGUACUGUAGGUAGGGCGUGAAAGCUCCCGGCUCAACUGGGAGAGGCCGUUCUAAACUACAGAACUAGAGGAUGGUAGAGGGAGGUGGAAUUCCAGGUGUAGCGGUGGAAUGCGCAGAUAUCUGGAGGAACACCGGUGGCGAAGGCGGCCUCCUGGACCAUUCCUGACACUCAGACGCGAAAGCUAGGGUAGCAAACGGGAUUAGAGACCCCGGUAGUCCUAGCCCUAAACGAUGUAGACUAGGCGUCGGUGGUUUAAUCACCAUCGGUGUCCAAGCUAACGCGAUAAGUCUACCGCCUGGGGACUACGGCCGCAAGGUUAAAACUCAAAUGAAUUGACGG